RNAcentral lists this ribosomal RNA (497 nucleotides) under uncultured bacterium. RNAcentral's name for it is "partial 16S ribosomal RNA". It matches the Rfam family "Bacterial small subunit ribosomal RNA", at positions 28 to 507 of the family's 1533-position model. The record is from RNAcentral.
GAUGAACGCUGGCGGCGUGCCUAAUACAUGCAAGUCGAGCGAACGGACGAGAAGCUUGCUUCUCUGAUGUUAGCGGCGGACGGGUGAGUAACACGUGGAUAACCUACCUAUAAGACUGGGAUAACUUCGGGAAACCGGAGCUAAGACCGGAUAAUAUUUUGAACCGCAUGGUGCAAAAGUGAAAGACGGUCUUGCUGUCACUUAUAGAUGGAUCCGCGCUGCAUUAGCUAGUUGGUAAGGUAACGGCUUACCAAGGCAACGAUGCAUAGCCGACCUGAGAGGGUGAUCGGCCACACUGGAACUGAGACACGGUCCAGACUCCUACAGGAGGCAGCAGUAGGGACUCUUCCGCAAUGCGCGAAAGCCUGACGGAGCAACGCCGCGUGAGUGCUGAAGGUCUUCGGAUCGUAAAACUCUGUUAUUCGGGAAGAACAUAUGUGUAAGUAACUGUGCACAUCUUGACGGUACCUAAUCAGAAAGCCACGGCUAACUACGUG